GGGCUGGGGCUCAGUGGUAGAGCGCUUGCCUAGCAUGUGUGAGGUACUGGGUUCGAUUCUCAGCACCACA
This 70-nucleotide transfer RNA is filed under the name Marmota monax (woodchuck). RNAcentral describes it as "tRNA.Ala". Lineage: Eukaryota; Metazoa; Chordata; Mammalia; Rodentia; Sciuridae. The record is from RNAcentral.